This 656-nucleotide long non-coding RNA is filed under the name Marmota monax (woodchuck). The record is from RNAcentral. Lineage: Eukaryota; Metazoa; Chordata; Mammalia; Rodentia; Sciuridae.
GCAACUAAAAGAUUAAAGCCAGAUUAGGUAAAGGCAAGGGUGUACUUUUUAAUGAAAUGGGUUCCUAGUAGAAUCACUCAUGGUUCAUUCAGUGUUUUUCAUUCAGCAUGGAUACAUUGAAUGGCUAUAAUGUGCAUUUUUGUAAGAUGUACAAGGAAGAAAUAACUGAGUCCCUGAUUUUUAGAAACUCAUUGUUUAACAUAAAGGAAGACAUACAAAGAUUUCAAUGCAAUUAGUUUAUUGCUGUCAGGUGAGUAUGUAUCCAGCACAGAGGCACCUAAGAGAAAGGACACAUCCAGGGUUCAACUCAUGUCUAGGGGAAUUUUGGAAAGUUUCUAAGAGGGUGAAUGUUUUAUCUGAGACUUGAGUUUCCCGGGCUGUUGAGCACAGAGAGGACUUUCUAGACAGAAUGAACAAACACAAAUCUGAAAUGAGAGGAACAGGGGCAGUAUUGCGGAAACAUGGAGUUUGAAGGUUAGAAGGAAUGGCAGACAUGAAGCUGGACAGGGAAACAGUCAUCACGUCAUGGCAGACCUCAGUGGUCAGUUGGGUGUAUUAGACAGGCACAAGGGGCUCCCAGGGGAGCAGUGAAUAACAAGGAUGGUAGGGCUCAGAACAGUGGACAUCUGGAGCAGUGGUUCUGCAGCAUCCAGGGC